UACGUAGGGGGCAAGCGUUGUCCGGAUUUAUUGGGCGUAAAGAGCGUGUAGGCGGCCAGACAGGUCCGUUGUGAAAACUCGAGGCUCAACCUCGAGACGCCGAUGGAAACCGUCUGGCUAGAGUCCGGAAGAGGAGAGUGGAAUUCCUGGUGUAGCGGUGAAAUGCGCAGAUAUCAGGAAGAACACCGGUGGCGAAGGCGGGUCUCUGGGCAGUAACUGACGCUGAGGAGCGAAAGCGUGGGGAGCGAACAGG
This 253-nucleotide ribosomal RNA is filed under the name uncultured bacterium. RNAcentral's name for it is "partial 16S ribosomal RNA". It matches the Rfam family "Bacterial small subunit ribosomal RNA", at positions 524 to 776 of the family's 1533-position model. The record is from RNAcentral.